This 442-nucleotide ribosomal RNA is filed under the name uncultured bacterium. RNAcentral's name for it is "partial 16S ribosomal RNA". It matches the Rfam family "Bacterial small subunit ribosomal RNA", at positions 338 to 795 of the family's 1533-position model. The record is from RNAcentral.
CCUACGGGUGGCAGCAGUAGGGAAUCUUUCACAAUGGGCGAAAGCCUGAUGGAGCAACGCCGCGUGCAGGAUGAAGGCCUUCGGGUUGUAAACUGCUUUUAUAAGCGAGAAAUAUGAUGGUAACUUAUGAAUAAGGAUCGGCUAACUACGUGCCAGCAGCCGCGGUCAUACGUAGGAUCCGAGCAUUAUCCGGAGUGACUGGGUGUAAAGAGUUGCGUAGGUGGAAUAAUAAGUAGCUAGUGAAAUCUGGUGGCUCAACAAUUCAGACUAUUAGCUAAACUGUUAAGCUCGAGACCGUUAGGGGUAACUGGAAUUUCUAGUGUAGGAGUGAAAUCCGUAGAUAUUAGAAGGAACACCAAUAGCGUAGGCAGGUUGCUGGGACGGUUCUGACACUAAGGCACGAAAGCGUAGGGAGCAAACGGGAUUAGAUACCCCUGUAGUC